GCUGGGUUUGGUGGUGUACACCUGUAAUCCCUAUGGCUCUGGAGGCUGAGAUAGGAAAAUUGCAAGUUCAAAGCCAGCCUCAGCAAUGGUGAGGCGCUAAGCAACUCAGUGAGUCCUUAUCUCUG
Molecule: small RNA, 125 nt
Filed under: Marmota monax (woodchuck)
Lineage: Eukaryota; Metazoa; Chordata; Mammalia; Rodentia; Sciuridae
Source: RNAcentral